RNAcentral lists this unclassified non-coding RNA (348 nucleotides) under soil metagenome. Its description in RNAcentral is "partial contains 5.8S ribosomal RNA, internal transcribed spacer 2, and large subunit ribosomal RNA". The stretch from base 1 to 120 matches the Rfam family "5.8S ribosomal RNA", at positions 35 to 154 of the family's 154-position model. The record is from RNAcentral.
GAUGAAGAACGUAGCGAAAUGCGAUAAGUAAUGUGAAUUGCAGAAUUCAGUGAAUCAUCGAGUCUUUGAACGCACAUUGCACCCCCUGGUAUUCCGGGGGGCAUGCCUGUCCGAGCGUCAUUGCUGCCCUCAAGCACGGCUUGUGUGUUGGGCCGCCGUCCCCGGUUUCCCCCGGGGACGGGCCCGAAAGGCAGCGGCGGCACCGCGUCCGAUCCUCGAGCGUAUGGGGCUUUGUCACCCGCUCUGUAGGCCCGGCCGGCGCCAGCCGACACCCAACUUUAUUUCUAAGGUUGACCUCGGAUCAGGUAGGGAUACCCGCUGAACUUAAGCAUAUCAAUAAGCGGAGGA